GUGAGGAAUUUUCCGCAAUGGGCGAAAGCCUGACGGAGCGACGCCGUGUGUGGGAUGAAGUUUUUCGGAAUGUAAACCACUGUCAGAGGGGAAGAUAUUGACGGUACCCUCAGAGGAAGGCCCGGCUAACUACGUGCCAGCAGCCGCGGUAAUACGUAGGGGCCAAGCGUUGUCCGGAAUCACUGGGCGUAAAGGGUAUGUAGGCGGUCUGGUAAGUCGGAUGUUAAAUCUACGGGCUCAACCCGUAGCCGCAUUUGAUACUGCCAGACUAGAGAGUGCUAGAGGAAAGCGGAACUUCCGGUGUAGCGGUGAAAUGCGUAGAUAUCGGAAGGAACACCAGUGGCGAAGGCGGCUUUCUGGGGCACUUCUGACGCUGAGAUACGAAAGCUAGGGGAGCAAACGGGAUUAGAUACCCCGGUAGUCC
Molecule: ribosomal RNA, 424 nt
Filed under: uncultured bacterium
Lineage: Bacteria
Description: bacterial SSU rRNA
Rfam family: Bacterial small subunit ribosomal RNA
Source: RNAcentral